Molecule: long non-coding RNA, 658 nt
Organism: Hyaena hyaena (striped hyena)
Lineage: Eukaryota; Metazoa; Chordata; Mammalia; Carnivora; Hyaenidae
Exons: 3
Source: RefSeq, a predicted model, not a curated record
CAGUCUCUCAAAGGCACACUGGGACCCCAGCCACACCUCCUCACUCUUCACUUCCUCACUAUUGAACCACAUGGAACAUGACCUUCCCUCUUGGUAAAGAGAGAGAAGAGGAAGUGAAAACAGGAGGGGAGAAUUUUCUUACAGCGCCUCUUGCCCUGAAGACAACAACCGAAAACCCCCUUGGGUUUGAGCAGAGCCUUGUACUUUUUAGUAGCUUGUGCCCAUCCGUGGAUUGCCUCAUUUGGGUUCUCAGAGUUUCCCCAAGAUGGGAGGCAGAAUUCUGAGCUGCCCCAAUUUCCCUCUCAUUUGCAGAUAGGAAACACUCCUGGGGCUGGAGGCAAGGGCUGGACACUGGCUAUUCCAGGAAAAAGAGAGAUCAAAAUACAGGGCUACAGGGGAUUCCCACUGGACUACAAACCAAAGUGCCCAACGGAGAAGCAUGAGGGUCAUCGUGCAGGGAGCCCUCUGCCCUUUGCACUCCAAGGUUUGCUAUGUCCCUCCUCUGAGCUCCUCUAGCUCAGCGACCAAGCAUGUGACCCCAGCCGGAGACACCUCUCUCCUCUGUCUCCAAGAUUCCACUUCUCUGGGCCUACGCCCAGGUCCCCUUUAUCUCUGAGUGUGCCCUAUCACCCGACUAUCUAUUAAGCUGUCAGUAAGU